GGUGAAAUUCGUAGAUAUUAGAAAGAAUACCGAUUGCGAAGGCAGCUUUCUGGAUCAUUACUGACACUGAGGAACGAAAGCAUGGGUAGCGAAGAGGAUUAGAUACCCUCGUAGUCCAUGCUGUAAACGAUGUGUGUUAGACGUUGGAAAUUUAUUUUUAGUGUCGCAGCGAAAGCGAUAAACACACCGCCUGGGGAGUACGACCGCAAGGUUAAAACUCAAAUGAAUUGACGGGGACCCGCACAAGUAGUGGAGCAUGUGGUUUAAUUCGAAGAUACGCGCAGAACCUUACCAACACUUGACAUGUUCGUCGCGACCUUAAGAGAUUAAGGUUUUCGGUUCGGCCGGACGAAACACAGGUGCUGCAUGGCUGUCGUCAGCUCGUGUCGUGAGAUGUUGGGUUAAGUCCCGCAACGAGCGCAACCCUCACUUUUAGUUGCCAUCAUUUAGUUGGGCACUCUGAAAGAACUGCCAGUGAUAAGCUGGAGGAAGGUGGGGAUGACGUCAAGUCCUCAUGGCCCUUACGUGUUGGGCUACACACGUGCUACAAUGGCAUCUACAAUAGGAAGCAAAAUGGCGACAUUGAGCAAAUCCUAAAAAGAUGCCUCAGUUCGGAUUGCACUCUGCAACUCGAGUGCAUGAAGCUGGAAUUACUAGUAAUCGCGGAUCAGCGCGCCGCGGUGAAUACGUUCCCG
Molecule: ribosomal RNA, 695 nt
Filed under: uncultured Alphaproteobacteria bacterium
Lineage: Bacteria; Pseudomonadati; Pseudomonadota; Alphaproteobacteria
Description: bacterial SSU rRNA
Rfam family: Bacterial small subunit ribosomal RNA
Source: RNAcentral